This 463-nucleotide ribosomal RNA is filed under the name uncultured bacterium. Its description in RNAcentral is "partial 16S ribosomal RNA". It matches the Rfam family "Bacterial small subunit ribosomal RNA", at positions 28 to 507 of the family's 1533-position model. The record is from RNAcentral.
GACGAACGCUGGCGGCGUGCUUAAUACAUGCGAGUCGAACGGACAGGCCUUUUCGUAGGUACUUGAGUGGUGGACGGGUGGGUAACACGUGGGUGAUCUGCCCUGCACUCUGUGAUAAGCAUGGGAAACUGGGUCUAAUACCGGAUAGGUACGCCCGUUUGAUAGUGUUUAUGACAGUUUUUUUGGUGUAGGAUUGGACCGGGGCCUAUACGCUAGUUGGUGGGGUUAUGGUCUACAAAGGCGGAGAUGGGUAGCCGGACUGGGGGGUGGGACGCGCACAUUGGGACUGAGGGAGGGACCAGAAUCCAACGGGAGGCAACAGUGGGAAGUCUUGCACAAUAGGGGCAAGCCUGUGGCGGAGGCGCCGCGUUGGGGAAGACGGGUUUCGGGUGGAAAACGGCUGUGGGCGGGGACGAAGCACUUUGUGACGGUACCUGGAGAAGAAGCACCGGCUAACUACGUG